Long non-coding RNA from Passer montanus (Eurasian tree sparrow), 1774 nucleotides. RefSeq lists it as uncharacterized. Lineage: Eukaryota; Metazoa; Chordata; Aves; Passeriformes; Passeridae. The transcript has 2 exons. The record is from RefSeq and is a predicted model, not a curated record.
UCUCCUUCAGCAAAGCAAACUGGGCUGGAUUGCAGCUGUGCUUUGGUUCCUGUCUGUGUUAACAUGUAGCACAUGCUGCUCAGACAGAGUUCUGCUGCCCUGGGUUGAUGGAGAAGGUGACCCGUGGCAGCCAGGCUGCAGAGCAGUGUGUCAGUGCCAGGAAGCUGUGUGGGGCACCACAUGGGAUCAGGAAGUUCUCCCCAUAAGCAGUGCAGACUGACCUGUCCUGUGGCAGCAGGUGGAGAGAAAGGUCCCUCAGACUCCAGUCCUGGGGCAGUGAGGUCCUGUGGAGCUGGUGACAGCCUGGGAGAAGGAGCAAGGCUCCUGUUCCACCCAGGAGAGCCCUUUGCAGGGGAGCAUCUUCCUUCCAGCCCUGCCAGUGUGAGAGCAGCCUCAGUGGAGGGGCAGGAAGAGCAAGUGCUGGGUCUCCAGCUGUACCCAAGGUUUUUCUGUGUGGGGACAUGCCAGGGGACGUGCUGGGUGCUGCUGGGACCCUUCUGCCCCAGAGGGAUGAGUGAGGGAGGGAACUGCAAUCCAGCAGUUCUUGGUCAGCUCCAGAGCUGGCUGUGAGCCUUGUCCCGUGUGCUGUGUAGGGGCAGAGCUGGAGGAAGUGUUGCUGGGGCUGUGUGAGGGCAGCUACAGCAGAUUUGGGAGGAAAAGGGAGGAGUUGAGAGCCUGGAGACCUCUUGUAUAGACAGCACUAGCUGCUCUCCACCAUCCUUCCCUGCAACAAGAGGGGGCAGGUGAUGGAUGAGUGAACCUGGCAUGUCUGUCCCUCUCCCCACAUCCCAAACCAAAGCUCAGAGCCUGCAGCUUGAGCUGGAGCAGUGUCCAGCAAGCCAGGGCAUCAUCCAGGCUUGAGGAGCACACAGUUCUUUAUUUCCAGGAGGGAAGCUUAACUCUCCUGCUCGCAGGAAACUCACAAGUCCUGUGUGGAAUUCACACUCACAGAAACAUUCCUGGAAGCCAUGCAAACCUCUGCUCCUUGCUGAAGGUCCCAUGGCCAGGCAGACACCUUUCUCUGGUCGCUCCACUUGGAUCCAGGGGUGUGCUUGGACGUUUUUGCUCGGGAGGACUUCAGCCACAUCCUUCCUCCAGAAGGGAGCACAGAGGGAUUUUUGUAUGCUGGGCUUCUCACAGGCUUAGACUUGGAGAAAAGAGAAGCAGCAGCAGCUCUGGGGAUAAUCCAGAUUUUAAAGAAAAUUUGAAAAUCACACAUAUGGUGACUUCCAGACCAAGGACUGCACCGGCGCUGGAUCGGGAUCGUGUCUCGGUCCCGCCUGUGCAGCUGGGGAGGCAGGAGGAGGCUGCAGCCCCUGAAGCUCUCACACACAGCAGUGCAAGCCCCAGGACCUGCCCAGCACACAGUGAACUCUCCUCUCCUGCUGGUUGCUCAAAACUCAGGUAUGAAAUGCCCAGCUGGAGCAGGGGGUGCGAGGUUUCCCGGCAGCCCUGGAGGAGCGGCCGCCGCUGGGCACAGCCCCCUGUGCACCCCGGGCUCCUCCAGGCCUUUGGAGGGAGUUCCACCUCUCUGGUACAACAUUGGCUACGUGGACGUUACACAAACUCUGCACAUUGGUUCAGUCUACGCUUAGUAUUUGUGAAUUAAGUUAUCUGAUGCUUCGCAUGAAAACUUCAAAAAAGGGGCUCGGGGGGGUUGGAUUUUAACUGAGAAAAAGCCUAUGAAAAUAUACUGGAAAUAUGGUAAAGAAAUCGACAUUCUGCUGUAUAUUGACAGAAUUAUUUUUAUUAAAAUACACAUCCAUGUGCAAGA